CCCCAGUGUUCCCAGGUGUAUCCCAGGUGCCCCCAGGUGUAUCCCAGGUGUCCCCAGGUGCCCCCAGGUGUGCCCAGGUGUAUCCCAGGUGCCCCCAGGUGUGCCCAGGUGCCCCCAGGUGUAUCUCAGGUGUGCCCAGGUGCCCCCAGGUG
Long non-coding RNA from Serinus canaria (Common canary), 152 nucleotides. RefSeq lists it as uncharacterized. The transcript is spliced from 3 exons. The record is from RefSeq and is a predicted model, not a curated record. Lineage: Eukaryota; Metazoa; Chordata; Aves; Passeriformes; Fringillidae.